This 1540-nucleotide ribosomal RNA is filed under the name Escherichia coli. Its description in RNAcentral is "partial 23S ribosomal RNA". It matches the Rfam family "Bacterial large subunit ribosomal RNA", at positions 165 to 1746 of the family's 2925-position model. The record is from RNAcentral. Lineage: Bacteria; Pseudomonadati; Pseudomonadota; Gammaproteobacteria; Enterobacterales; Enterobacteriaceae.
CAUAGGUUAAUGAGGCGAACCGGGGGAACUGAAACAUCUAAGUACCCCGAGGAAAAGAAAUCAACCGAGAUUCCCCCAGUAGCGGCGAGCGAACGGGGAGCAGCCCAGAGCCUGAAUCAGUGUGUGUGUUAGUGGAAGCGUCUGGAAAGGCGCGCGAUACAGGGUGACAGCCCCGUACACAAAAAUGCACAUGCUGUGAGCUCGAUGAGUAGGGCGGGACACGUGGUAUCCUGUCUGAAUAUGGGGGGACCAUCCUCCAAGGCUAAAUACUCCUGACUGACCGAUAGUGAACCAGUACCGUGAGGGAAAGGCGAAAAGAACCCCGGCGAGGGGAGUGAAAAAGAACCUGAAACCGUGUACGUACAAGCAGUGGGAGCACGCUUAGGCGUGUGACUGCGUACCUUUUGUAUAAUGGGUCAGCGACUUAUAUUCUGUAGCAAGGUUAACCGAAUAGGGGAGCCGAAGGGAAACCGAGUCUUAACUGGGCGUUAAGUUGCAGGGUAUAGACCCGAAACCCGGUGAUCUAGCCAUGGGCAGGUUGAAGGUUGGGUAACACUAACUGGAGGACCGAACCGACUAAUGUUGAAAAAUUAGCGGAUGACUUGUGGCUGGGGGUGAAAGGCCAAUCAAACCGGGAGAUAGCUGGUUCUCCCCGAAAGCUAUUUAGGUAGCGCCUCGUGAAUUCAUCUCCGGGGGUAGAGCACUGUUUCGGCAAGGGGGUCAUCCCGACUUACCAACCCGAUGCAAACUACGAAUACCGGAGAAUGUUAUCACGGGAGACACACGGCGGGUGCUAACGUCCGUCGUGAAGAGGGAAACAACCCAGACCGCCAGCUAAGGUCCCAAAGUCAUGGUUAAGUGGGAAACGAUGUGGGAAGGCCCAGACAGCCAGGAUGUUGGCUUAGAAGCAGCCAUCAUUUAAAGAAAGCGUAAUAGCUCACUGGUCGAGUCGGCCUGCGCGGAAGAUGUAACGGGGCUAAACCAUGCACCGAAGCUGCGGCAGCGACGCUUAUGCGUUGUUGGGUAGGGGAGCGUUCUGUAAGCCUGCGAAGGUGUGCUGUGAGGCAUGCUGGAGGUAUCAGAAGUGCGAAUGCUGACAUAAGUAACGAUAAAGCGGGUGAAAAGCCCGCUCGCCGGAAGACCAAGGGUUCCUGUCCAACGUUAAUCGGGGCAGGGUGAGUCGACCCCUAAGGCGAGGCCGAAAGGCGUAGUCGAUGGGAAACAGGUUAAUAUUCCUGUACUUGGUGUUACUGCGAAGGGGGGACGGAGAAGGCUAUGUUGGCCGGGCGACGGUUGUCCCGGUUUAAGCGUGUAGGCUGGUUUUCCAGGCAAAUCCGGAAAAUCAAGGCUGAGGCGUGAUGACGAGGCACUACGGUGCUGAAGCAACAAAUGCCCUGCUUCCAGGAAAAGCCUCUAAGCAUCAGGUAACAUCAAAUCGUACCCCAAACCGACACAGGUGGUCAGGUAGAGAAUACCAAGGCGCUUGAGAGAACUCGGGUGAAGGAACUAGGCAAAAUGGUGCCGUAACUUCGGGAGAAGG